RNAcentral lists this ribosomal RNA (664 nucleotides) under uncultured archaeon. RNAcentral's name for it is "bacterial SSU rRNA". It matches the Rfam family "Archaeal small subunit ribosomal RNA", at positions 691 to 1353 of the family's 1478-position model. The record is from RNAcentral.
CCGACGGUGAGGGAUGAAAGCUGGGGGAGCAAACCGGAUUAGAUACCCGGGUAGUCCCAGCUGUAAACUAUGCAAACUCAGUGAUGCAUUGGCUUGUGGCCAAUGCAGUGCUGCAGGGAAGCCGUUAAGUUUGCCGCCUGGGAAGUACGUACGCAAGUAUGAAACUUAAAGGAAUUGGCGGGGGAGCACCACAAGGGGUGAAGCCUGCGGUUCAAUUGGAGUCAACGCCAGAAAUCUUACCCGGAGAGACAGCAGAAUGAAGGUCAAGCUGAAGACUUUACCAGACAAGCUGAGAGGUGGUGCAUGGCCGUCGCCAGCUCGUGCCGUGAGAUGUCCUGUUAAGUCAGGUAACGAGCGAGAUCCCUGCCUCUAGUUGCCACCAUUACUCUCAGGAGUAGUGGGGCGAAUUAGCGGGACCGCCGCAGUUAAUGCGGAGGAAGGAAGGGGCCACGGCAGGUCAGUAUGCCCCGAAACUCUGGGGCCACACGCGGGCUGCAAUGGUAGCGACAAUUGGUUUCGAAUCCGAAAGGAUGAGGUAAUCCACAAACGCUACCACAGUUAUGACUGAGGGCUGCAACUCGCCCUCACGAAUAUGGAAUCCCUAGUAACUGCGUGUCAUUAUCGCGCGGUGAAUACGUCCCUGCUCCUUGCACACACCGCCCGU